GCCCCCGUAGCUCAGUGGUCAGAGCGCGGGCCAGCGUUGAUAUUCACACAGCGUUUGAGAUUAGCGAUGUUUCCAGCGAAGUCUACUCAGCGAAUAUCAGCGUACCCGAGGGCAGGCAGCGGUUCAAAUCCGCUCGGGGGCA
Non-coding RNA from Rhypophila decipiens, 142 nucleotides. The record is from the annotation of a GenBank genome assembly. NCBI's taxonomy places the organism in Eukaryota, Fungi, Ascomycota, Sordariomycetes, Sordariales, Naviculisporaceae.